RNAcentral lists this ribosomal RNA (504 nucleotides) under uncultured bacterium. RNAcentral's name for it is "partial 16S ribosomal RNA". It matches the Rfam family "Bacterial small subunit ribosomal RNA", at positions 29 to 523 of the family's 1533-position model. The record is from RNAcentral.
AUUGAACGCUGGCGGCAGGCCUAACACAUGCAAGUCGAGCGGUAACACAGGGAGCUUGCUCCUGGGUGACGAGCGGCGGACGGGUGAGUAAUGUCUGGGAAACUGCCUGAUGGAGGGGGAUAACUACUGGAAACGGUAGCUAAUACCGCAUAACGUCGCAAGACCAAAGAGGGGGAACUUCGGGCCUCUUGCCAUCAGAUGUGCCCAGAUGGGAUUAGCUGGUAGGUGGGGUAACGGCUCACCUAGGCGACGAUCCCUAGCUGGUCUGAGAGGAUGACCAGCCACACGGGAACUGAGACACGGUCCAGACUCCAACGGGAGGCAGCAGUGGGGAAUAUUGCACAAUGGGCGCAAGCCUGAUGCAGCCAUGCCGCGUGUAUGAAGAAGGCCUUCGGGUUGUAAAGUACUUUCAGCGGGGAGGAAGGCGAUAAGGUUAAUAACCUUGUCGAUUGACGUUACCCGCAGAAGAAGCACCGGCUAACUCCGUGCCAGCAGCCGCAGUAA